RNAcentral lists this ribosomal RNA (2291 nucleotides) under human gut metagenome. RNAcentral describes it as "bacterial LSU rRNA". It matches the Rfam family "Bacterial large subunit ribosomal RNA", at positions 1 to 2312 of the family's 2925-position model. The record is from RNAcentral.
GAAAGUAAACAAGGGCGCAUGGCGGAUGCCUUGGCUCUCGGAGGCGAUGAAGGACGUGAUAAGCUGCGAUAAGCUCCGGGGAGGUGCAAAUAACCUUUGAUCCGGGGAUUUCCGAAUGGGACAACCCGGCGUGUUGAAGACACGCCACCUGAUCAUUUCAGGAGCUAACGCAGGGAACUGAAACAUCUUAGUACCUGCAGGAAAAGAAAAUAACAAUGAUUCCCCCAGUAGUGGCGAGCGAACGGGGAAUAGCCCAAACCGUUCAUGUUACGGCAUGAUCGGGGUUGUAGGACUACGUCGUUGCAUGAAGACAUCGGAGAAGAACUUUCUGGAAAGAAAGACCAUAGAGCAUGACAGUUGCGUAUUCGUAUGUUGUCGAAGCAUAGUAGUAUCCUGAGUAGCGCGGAGCACGAGGAAUUCUGCGUGAAUCUGCCGGGACCAUCCGGUAAGGCUAAAUACUCCCGAGAGACCGAUAGCGAACCAGUACCGUGAGGGAAAGGUGAAAAGCACUUCGAACAGAAGAGUGAAAUAGUUCCUGAAACCGUGCGCCUACAAGCGGUCGGAGCUGCUUAAAGCAGUGACGGCGUGCCUUUUGCAUAAUGAACCUACGAGUUGCCUUUGCCGGCAAGGUUAAGUGUGACGACACACGUAUCCGAAGCGAAAGCGAGUCUGAAGAGGGCGUAUAGUCGGCAGUGGCAGACGCGAAACCAAGUGAUCUACCCUUGGCCAGGUUGAAGGCUGGGUAACACCAGCUGGAGGACCGCACCAAUAAGCGUUGAAAAGCUUCUGGAUGAGCUGAGGGUAGGGGUGAAAGGCUAAUCAAACUUGGAGAUAGCUCGUACUCCCCGAAAUGCAUUUAGGUGCAGCCUUGUGGGUUACUGAUGUGAGGUAGAGCGACUGAUAAGAUGCGAGGGCUUCACCGCCUAUCAAGUCUUGACAAACUCCGAAUGCGCAUCAGUUUUACCUCAGGAGUGAGGGCAUGGGUGCUAAGGUCCGUGCCCGAGAGGAGAAGAAUCCGGACCACCUGCUAAGGUCCCGAAAUGACAGCUAAGUUAAACUAACGAAGUCUGACUGCUAAGACAGCUAGGAUGUUGGCUUGGAAGCAGCCAUUCAUUUAAAGAGUGCGUAACAGCUCACUAGUCGAGGAGUCUGGCGUGGAUAAUAAUCGGGUAUUAAGUUGUCUACCGAAGCAGUGGGAUCAUUGAAAUGAUCGGUAGGGGAGCAUUCCAGUCAGCGUCGAAGGCGUACCGCGAGGUAUUCUGGAGCGUCUGGAAAAGCAAAUGUAGGUAUAAGUAACGAUAAAGGGGGCGGGAAACCCCCUCGCCGAAAGACUAAGGUUUCCUGAUCAACGCUAAUCGGAUCAGGGUAAGUCGGGUCCUAAGGCUCAGCCGAAGGGCGAUGCCGAUGGCAGAAACGGUUAAUAUUCCGUUACUACCUCCAGGAGUGAUGUGGAGACGCAGUAGUGACAAUGCCGCCAUCUGACGGAAUAGAUGGUUGAAGGGUGUAGAUGUUGAUCUUGGCAGGCAAAUCCACCAUGAGAAUCGAACCUGAUAGUAUGCCGCGUCCCUCGGGACAAGGCAAUAGUGCAUGUAAUCAUGCUGCCAAGAAAAUCCGCUAAACUAAAUCCUGUAGGUACCCGUACCGUAAACGGACACACGUAGUCGGGAUGAAUAUUCUAAGGCGCUUGAGUGAUUCACGGUUAAGGAACUAGGCAAACUGACCCUGUAACUUCGGGAUAAAGGGUCCCUACCCGGUGACGGGAGGGCGCAGAGAAUAGGUCCAGGCAACUGUUUAACAAAAACACAGGGCUGUGCUAAAUCGAAAGAUCCUGUAUACAGCCUGACACCUGCCCGGUGCUGGAAGGUUAAGAGGAGACGUCAUCGUUGAGAGAAGCGUUGAAUUGAAGCCCCAGUAAACGGCGGCCGUAACUAUAACGGUCCUAAGGUAGCGAAAUUCCUUGUCGGGUAAGUUCCGACCUGCACGAAUGGUGUAAUGAUCUGGACGCUGUCUCAACCGUGAGCUCAGUGAAAUUGUAGUAUCGGUGAAGAUGCCGAUUACCCGCGAUGGGACGAAAAGACCCCGUGAACCUUUACUAUAGCUUAUCAUUGAAUCUGGGCACGUGAUGUGUAGGAUAGGUCGGAGGCUUUGAAGGGGGUACGCCAGUAUCCUUGGAGCCGCUGUUGAAAUACGACCCUUCAUUUGUUUGGAUUCUAACCCGUGUAUAUGGGGACACUGAUUGGUGGGUAGUUUGACUGGGGUGGUCGCCUCCAAAAGCGUAACGGAGGCUUCUA